This 884-nucleotide unclassified non-coding RNA is filed under the name Hevea brasiliensis (rubber tree). Lineage: Eukaryota; Viridiplantae; Streptophyta; Magnoliopsida; Malpighiales; Euphorbiaceae. The record is from RNAcentral.
GAGGACGAAGAAAAAUCUUCUACCCUUUUGUAAGUUGGUGCUUUUCUCUUCAAUUGGCAAAUUCUAUUUAAUUUGUUUUAUAUGUGAAACUUACACUCUGAUUCUUUAUGCACAUGAAAUGAAAUUACUGAGUUAUGAAGAUUAAAUGACUAAUAAUUUAGCCACUCUAUUCCAUUGGAAAUCAGCAAUACAAACAUGGACUCGGUAAAUUUUUUUCUGUCAUUAUUUUAUUUCAAUCAACCAAUCAACUAUGUAGAGUACUCAUUUUCCUUUUAUUUUUAACAACUGAAAAUUUAUUUUCCUUAUGAUAAAAUUUUCAGGAAUUUUCUGUGUUCUUAACAAGUGACAUGAUAAUGGAUAAGAAACCAAAACAAGAUUUCUUGGAAGCUGUUUUAUGUUUUGAUUGGCUCGACAUAAUUCGUAUUUGAAGAUCAACUUCUGCAGAAGAAUUUUUCACACUUCGGAUUACAACUAUGGAGACUGUUACCAGAAGAUUCAUGCAAAGGACAUUGAAUGAUGAGAUAUAGAGUACUAGCUGCCCAACAAUUUUGCCACUAUUUCUUCUGAAAUGAGUAGCACAUAAACAUUGAUUCAGAUAAAUUUUGUUGGAAAUUUCUUUGUGGCUUGUGUUCUUGACAAAUGACAUGACAACGGAUAUGAACUCUGAAUGAUUUUGAGUGGUCUUUCACUUUCUCCACAUACAGUGGUUAGUUCCCUGAACUAAAAUUCUAACUAAUCGGAAAGUGGUGAACAAAUGCAAAGGGUGUCAAAUCCAUUGGCAGAAGUUAUUAGGGACUAUCAGAAACCAAACAAGAUGUCAUGGCAGCAAUUACUUGCAACCCAACUUCUUUUGAUAUGCAAAAAGCUGUAACAAAUUGGUGGAA